GUCAUAUUCUGAAGUCUCGCAUGCCUGGGGAGCAUAUUGUGUUCAAUACCAUCCGAACCAGCCCAAAAGCUUGGUUUAUCAAGGCUGACCUUCCCGAACCUAACUGAAGCAUAUCGCCAUUCAUUCUCUCCCUUCUUUGAUGGGUCAUAUCCAGGCUCAACGAUCAGCUCACCAAAAGAAUCAAAGGCCUUCUGAAGACCAUUGUGGAUGAAGUCAU
Molecule: unclassified non-coding RNA, 217 nt
Filed under: Hevea brasiliensis (rubber tree)
Lineage: Eukaryota; Viridiplantae; Streptophyta; Magnoliopsida; Malpighiales; Euphorbiaceae
Source: RNAcentral